This 347-nucleotide unclassified non-coding RNA is filed under the name soil metagenome. Its description in RNAcentral is "partial contains 5.8S ribosomal RNA, internal transcribed spacer 2, and large subunit ribosomal RNA". The stretch from base 1 to 120 matches the Rfam family "5.8S ribosomal RNA", at positions 35 to 154 of the family's 154-position model. The record is from RNAcentral.
GAUGAAGAACGUAGCAAAAUGCGAUAAGUAAUGUGAAUUGCAGAAUUCAGUGAAUCAUCGAAUCUUUGAACGCACAUUGCGCCCGCUGGUAUUCCGGCGGGCAUGCCUGUUCGAGCGUCAUUUCAACCCUCAAGCCCCCGGGUUUGGUGUUGGGGAUCGGCUCUGCCUUCUGGCGGUGCCGCCCCCCGAAAUACAUUGGCGGUCUCGCUGCAGCCUCCAUUGCGUAGUAGCUAACACCUCGCAACUGGAACGCGGCGCGGCCAUGCCGUAAAACCCCAACUUCUGAAUGUUGACCUCGGAUCAGGUAGGAAUACCCGCUGAACUUAAGCAUAUCAAUAAGCGGAGGA